Molecule: microRNA precursor, 207 nt
Organism: Oryza sativa Indica Group (long-grained rice)
Lineage: Eukaryota; Viridiplantae; Streptophyta; Magnoliopsida; Poales; Poaceae
Rfam family: MIR812 microRNA precursor family
Source: Rfam
AAUAAGUGCAGUUUUGCACUAUUCACGUUCAACGUUUGACCGUUUGUUUUAUUUAAAUUUUUUUAUGAUUGGUAUUUUUACUGCUAUUAGAUGAUAAAACAUGAAUAGUACUUUAUGUAUGAAUAAAUAUUUUUAAUUUUUUCAUAAUUUUUUUAAAUAAAACGGACGGUCAAAUGUUGGACACUGAUAUCCACGGCUACAUUUAUU